This 301-nucleotide ribosomal RNA is filed under the name uncultured bacterium. RNAcentral's name for it is "partial 16S ribosomal RNA". It matches the Rfam family "Bacterial small subunit ribosomal RNA", at positions 509 to 808 of the family's 1533-position model. The record is from RNAcentral.
CAGCAGCCACGGUAAUACGUAUGUCACAAGCGUUAUCCGGAUUUAUUGGGCGUAAAGCGCGUCUAGGUGGUUAUGUAAGUCUGAUGUGAAAAUGCAGGGCUCAACUCUGUAUUGCGUUGGAAACUGUGUAACUAGAGUACUGGAGAGGUAAGCGGAACUACAAGUGUAGAGGUGAAAUUCGUAGAUAUUUGUAGGAAUGCCGAUGGGGAAGCCAGCUUACUGGACAGAUACUGACGCUGAAGCGCGAAAGCGUGGGUAGCAAACAGGAUUAGAUACCCCCGUAGUCCCUGUCUCUUAUACA